UCUACAUACAAAAGAAACGGAUAAACUAAUAAAAGAUCAAAUUUGACUAAUUUACAAGAUCAACCAUCCAAUAAAUACAACAUCAAAAUUGCGAAUCCCUUAAAGAAUUAGGAUUUGGUGUUUAUAACCUACACAAUCCUUUACAAUUAAAAUCCACUUCAACAAGCUAUUCUUAGGCUAUUCACUAUUGACAACUUGUCAUACAAAGUAAAUUCAUUAUUCUCAUCACCUUCAAAUACAUUUAUUUAUUAUAUUAAAUUAGAAAAAAAAAACAAUUUUCAUACCCCAAUUAAAAAGCAAAAAAAAUGAUAAGUAUAUUCUCAUAUAAAAUUCUUUAAUAUAUAUAUAUAUAUAAUCUUUUUUUUUUUGUUCUUCUUCACAUCCAAAAUUAAGGCCACCAAAAAAAAAAAAAAAAACCACAAACUUCUCCCACCAGCAAACAAACAAACAAACAAAAGGCAAACCCCCCUUCUUCUUAUUCUUCUUCUUCACCAAACUAAACAACAACAUCAAACAUUAUUUCACAAACUUUAUUUUUCCUCAGAAAAUUAAAUUACAAUAAAGAUCAGAUUAAUUCUCUUCCAAAUUUAGGUGUUUCUGAUUGGAAUUUGGUAUAGAAGAGGGUGAAAUAUAUAAUGAGAUUCAAAAAGGGUACCAAAGUGGAGGUAUUGACCCAAAAGGAGGUAUCAUCAGGAUCUUGGCGUUGCGCCGAGAUAGUGGGUGGUAAUGGUCAUAACUAUGCUGUUAAGUAUGAAGGGGAUAUGGAGCUGUUAGGGAAAGCAAAGGUCGAAAGAGUGCCUCGGAAAACGGUUAGGCCUUGCCCUCCUCCGGUGGAUGUUUUGCAGGAUUGGGUAUCUGGUGAUGUUGUUGAGGUUUUCCACAGCUUUUCUUGGAAAAUGGCCUCAGUUGUAAAGGUGCUGGGAUAUCAUUACCUUUUGGUUAGGCUACUUGGAUCGUCAAUUGAACUUAAAGCAAAUAUGUUUGAUGUUCGAGCAAGACUUUGCUGGCAGGAUGAUGAAUGGAUUGUGAUUGGAAAGGCUUCUAAUAAAUGUGAAGAUUUGAGGUUCAGGAUUCCGUCAUCUCAAAUGGUUAAUAAUCAGUUGCAGAAAUCUGAUGUUAUUGUGGGAAGACAUAUGAAGGGUUACCAUUUUGGUACUAGAAAUACCAGUAAGGCCCUCGAUUCUAAUGUGAUUGCUUCCAGAACUCUGAAAAGGAAGCAAUCUGAUUGCCAUCUUCAGAUUGAAGCAUAUGCAGGACCCAGGCAGAGAUCUAGAGUGGAAAAAAGAGAGGACAUGUGGCAUCAGUUCAAUGUUAUGCAACAUCCACAAUUACCUGAAAAGGUAGAUGACGUUGCUUCUUCACGAGAAUUGCUGCAUGAAAAAUGCAUGCACCGUUCUUUUAUCAACAGAGUAACUGGAUGUUCUGAGUUGAUUUUGGAGAGGGAGAAAACAGAUGGUGCUGUUGGAUGUUCACGUUCAAUAAGCUUAGAAUCAGAUGAUGAUAAUAGUGUCUCGUCUUCUGUUGCUAGUUGUAGUGUCUAUGGGAAUUACUCCCAUAAAUUGCAUCGUAUUUUUGCCACAGGUCCUUUUGAAGAUAAUGACAGUCAACAUAGUGACGCUGAGUCUUCUUGUCAGUUGAGACCUGACGAAAGAAAUUCUUUUCUUUCUGCAAAAAAGGAGUUGUCAGAAGAAAUACAUAGGGCCAUAGUAGGGGGCUUAUGCACCUUGGUUCCAGAUGCAAAAAGAUGAUACUGGGAUCUGCCACCUUUCUUUUGGUGUGACUGCCAGUAUCUGCAUCAAAUUCCUUGCUCUAGAAGCUUAUGAUGCUAUUGAUAUCUCUGUUACGCAUGGCUGGCUGCUGCAUUCUUCCAUAUGGGCCCAUGUUAGAGCCCUGAAUGCUUGUCUGCUGAAGGAUGUAAAGCUAGAACCUUGUGUCUGCAUUCUGCAACAAGGUAUCCAAAUUUGUUGAUGCUUAAAAAGGUAUUCUAACAUGCUUAGUAACAUGACCAAACUCUUGUGCUUCAGCACCUUGGAAUGUUAUAAUUUUGUCAUUUCUGGCGAUUCUGGAGGAUAAUAAAAAUAGUAAGUCCAGUUUACCAGGUUAACAUCUAUAUCAUGGGUACAACUAACUUUAUGAACCUUGAGAAGUUUUGCAGAUCAUAAUCAAGGUGCCAACACCUUUUUUGAGCAUUUUUGGCCCCAGAUAACGAUCUCCUUGCUCAGGGGUACUUAAACAGUUGCAAACUUGCAAUUGCUCCCUGUAGCCGUCAACACUACUUGAAGAAGUCCAGCAGCGAAGGCGAUUAAUGGCGAGUUAGUAGUUAAGAAUGUAACUAUCCAUGGAAGGUUUCGUACCCGGAAUUUAGCUACCUCAUUAUGAGAUCAAGGCUUAUAUUUCACAGAAGAUUUUUCUUUCAGCAUCUUUCAUGUGGGAAAACGAUGUAAACAUGUGUGUUCAUUUAAGUGAUUCAAAUUGAGUUGUCACUACUGUCAUACUAUUAAUUCAAAUUACACAUAAUCCUUUUUCCGAUGUAAAA
RNA transcript from Beta vulgaris subsp. vulgaris (sugar beet), 2536 nucleotides. RefSeq lists it as hypothetical. The transcript has 6 exons. Lineage: Eukaryota; Viridiplantae; Streptophyta; Magnoliopsida; Caryophyllales; Amaranthaceae. The record is from RefSeq and is a predicted model, not a curated record.